CCUACGGGGGGCAGCAGUGGGGAAUAUUGGACAAUGGGGGCAACCCUGAUCCAGCCAUGCCGCGUGUGUGAAGAAGGCCCUCGGGUUGUAAAGCACUUUCAGUGAGGAAGAACGCCUGGUGGUUAAUACCCAUCAGGAAAGACAUCACUCACAGAAGAAGCACCGGCUAACUCCGUGCCAGCAGCCGCGGUAAUACGGAGGGUGCGAGCGUUAAUCGGAAUUACUGGGCGUAAAGCGCGCGUAGGUGGCUUGAUAAGCCGGUUGUGAAAGCCCCGGGCUCAACCUGGGAACGGCAUCCGGAACUGUCAAGCUAUAGUGCAGGAGAGGAAGGUAGAAUUCCCGGUGUAGCGGUGAAAUGCGUAGAGAUCGGGAGGAAUACCAGUGGCGAAGGCGGCCCUCUGGACUGACACUGACACUGAGGUGCGAAAGCGUGGGUAGCAAACAGGAUUAGAUACCCUGGUAGUC
RNAcentral lists this ribosomal RNA (465 nucleotides) under Vreelandella stevensii. RNAcentral's name for it is "partial 16S ribosomal RNA". It matches the Rfam family "Bacterial small subunit ribosomal RNA", at positions 338 to 795 of the family's 1533-position model. Lineage: Bacteria; Pseudomonadati; Pseudomonadota; Gammaproteobacteria; Oceanospirillales; Halomonadaceae. The record is from RNAcentral.